RNAcentral lists this non-coding RNA (23 nucleotides) under Cricetulus griseus (Chinese hamster). Lineage: Eukaryota; Metazoa; Chordata; Mammalia; Rodentia; Cricetidae. The record is from RNAcentral.
GAGCAAAGGACCAAAUGUAGAAC